Molecule: long non-coding RNA, 271 nt
Filed under: Carica papaya (papaya)
Lineage: Eukaryota; Viridiplantae; Streptophyta; Magnoliopsida; Brassicales; Caricaceae
Description: long non-coding RNA (CPAP_LNC007586)
Source: RNAcentral
AAACCCAGAGGAGAAAGAAGACAUAUUAAAUUCGUUACAAGAAAGUUUGUUGGAUCAUUUUACUUUCACCAGUAUUCCUUUCUCAUAUUGCAAAUUAGAUAAAAUAUAAAAUUCUAAUAAAGGUCAAAUAUUGAAAUCCUUCUUCCUUUAGCAGGGCACAACAACUUCACCAGUCAAAGCCUCUAAAGGGAGCAACACCACAAUCCCAGAGGCCCAUCACACCGAGUACAAGUUCCAUAACAUUUUAGAUCAAGAGCUUUUCAAUAGCAUC